UGGGGGAUAUUGCACAAUGGGCGAAAGCCUGAUGCAGCGACGCCGCGUGAGGGAAGACGGCCUUCGGGUUGUAAACCUCUGUCAUUCGGGACGAAGAAAGUGACGGUACCGAAGAAGGAAGCUCCGGCUAACUACGUGCCAGCAGCCGCGGUAAUACGUAGGGAGCGAGCGUUGUCCGGAAUUACUGGGUGUAAAGGGAGCGUAGGCGGGAAAGCAAGUUGGAAGUGAAAUGCAUGGGCUCAACCCAUGAGCUGCUUUCAAAACUGUUUUUCUUGAGUGAAGUAGAGGCAGGCGGAAUUCCUAGUGUAGCGGUGAAAUGCGUAGAUAUUAGGAGGAACACCAGUGGCGAAGGCGGCCUGCUGGGCUUUAACUGACGCUGAGGCUCGAAAGCGUGGGUAGC
RNAcentral lists this ribosomal RNA (400 nucleotides) under uncultured bacterium. Its description in RNAcentral is "bacterial SSU rRNA". It matches the Rfam family "Bacterial small subunit ribosomal RNA", at positions 355 to 769 of the family's 1533-position model. The record is from RNAcentral.